Molecule: long non-coding RNA, 1701 nt
Organism: Acanthopagrus latus (yellowfin seabream)
Lineage: Eukaryota; Metazoa; Chordata; Actinopteri; Spariformes; Sparidae
Exons: 2
Source: RefSeq, a predicted model, not a curated record
AUGAGAAAUCUCAGUUUUGUCUUCCUAGUCCUGGUAAAAUUAUGGCUCAAGUAUUGCUCAUUUUUGUCUCCAACGAAAAGCUCAAAUGAAGCUCUGUCAUGUCUCAAGUAAGGCUCCUGUUGCUAGCUGUCAAGUCUCAUCUAUUGCUCCUAAGGAAUUUUAGGAGAAACGAAUGAGAAAUCUCAGUUUUGUCUCCCCAGUGCUGGUAAAAUUAUGGCUCCAGUACUGCUCAUUUGUGUCUCCAACGAAAGGCUCAAAUAAAGCUCUGCCAUGUCUGGAGUAAGGCUCCUGUCGCUAGCUGUCAAGUCUCACCUAUUGCUCCUAAGGAAAUUUAGGAGAAACAAACGAGAAAUGUUUGAGACCAAAAAAGACUACAACGAGACUGAAAUGAGAACUCUCAUUGAGCUCCUUUUUGGCUCCAUAGCUGUAAAGGAGCAAGCCUUGAGCCUCUGGGCAGGUUCACCUACUGGGGCGGGGCGCAGCGGAUUCAUAAAAUAGUGCACAGCUAAUGCAAUUAGAAUAGUAGAAUGAAGUCAAUCACGAAUUCUUACCACAUAAAGCACGUUUCAGUCAUAACAAUAACUGUGAAUAGAAGCCCAUAGUUUCACAUAUGUUAUUUUUCGGGGUUUGGUUAAAAAGUGAAAUAUAUUACAGAACAAGGUGAAUUGGUUUAGCUUAACUCUUGGUUGACGGUGUUCGGGGAUGGUAAUGUGUUGAUUCCUGAGUGUCAAAUAAACAAAUGGAUAAGAAGAGGUCAAAGCCAUCAGGUGCCCAGUUGAGGAAAAAGAGAAAAGAAGAAGAGGAGAAACAAGCAAAAGAUAAAGAUUUGGAGCAAUAUCACCUACUUUUCCUGAGUAAUGAAAUUAAAUGACGUUAAUUAGUAUAGACUAACUUGUAUGUUUGUUAGCCUCUUGCUAUACUGCUGGCUAUAAUAAUGGAUGACAACAGCAACCAUUUUCACCACUUAACCAUUAUUUGUUAAUUUCACCCUAAUAAUAUGUAUGUAACACAACAAUGACUAGCUCCCAUACUGUUUGGUAAAUGUUGCGUUGUUUAUUUAAUUGUGCUAUUCAUGCAUUGAUCAUUUAUGUUGUAUUUUAAAUAUUUUGGAACACCCUCUGACACUAGCCAGGAUGAGGAGCCAUCUACCUCCUCAGUAACACAUAUGUCUCCACAAAUGCUGUCCCAUCCUGAGGAUGGAGACCCAUUUACCUCUGCUUCUCCCCAACACGACUCUUCAGAAAUGCCUGGAGCAGAAUUGCAUACUGAGGAUGAGCCUCUGUUCACUGACCCUACUAACUGGCCCUCAGUUCUGACUGUGAGAAUUCGGACACAACUGGUUUCCAGGGGACCAAGUAAGGUACCAUCUGACUUUGUAUUCCCUAGAAACGACAGUGACGGAAGAAGUUGCCACCAUCAAUACUUCAAGAAGUCAUUGGUUAGUGGGGAAAAUAUAUCAAGAUGUUGGUUGGUAUUUAUUUUGUGUUUUGUGUAAAAAGUGUGGUAAAAUUAUUAUGCUCUCUUAAGUGUGUUAUUGUAUCUGUGUGAUGAAGGAUUUGUGCAAUUUAGAUUCUCUAUUUUAUUUAUAUUUCAUUCUAUUAUACUAGUUCUUUUGGUUGUUGGCUUAUUUGUAUUUAUGAUUGUAUAUACUGUAUUUUGUUAUUAUUUCCAACUUUAACUUUAAUAAAUAAGUUAUUUUGA